AUGUGGCGCGCGGAGGGGAAAUGGCUGCCGAAAACAAGCCGGAAGGUAAGUCAGAAACAUCGGGGAUAUUUUUUACUUGUACGGCAAGAGUAUGAACAUGGACAUUUGAAAAUAUACCUGCCCAAAAAGCUGCUUGAAUGUCUACCAAAAUGCUCCACGUUGCCAAAGGAGAGACACAGGUGGAACACCAAUGAGGUAAGAAGUUAG
Molecule: non-coding RNA, 207 nt
Organism: Danio rerio (zebrafish)
Lineage: Eukaryota; Metazoa; Chordata; Actinopteri; Cypriniformes; Danionidae
Source: Ensembl